RNAcentral lists this ribosomal RNA (449 nucleotides) under uncultured bacterium. RNAcentral's name for it is "partial 16S ribosomal RNA". It matches the Rfam family "Bacterial small subunit ribosomal RNA", at positions 29 to 523 of the family's 1533-position model. The record is from RNAcentral.
AACGAACGCUGGCGACAUGCCUAACACAUGCAAGUCGAACGAGAUCUUCGGGUCUAGUGGCGCACGGGUGCGUAACGCGUGGGAAUCUGCCCUUUGGUUCGGAAUAACAGUUGGAAACGACUGCUAAUACCGGAUGAUGACGAAAGUCCAAAGAUUUAUCGCCAGAGGAUGAGCCCGCGUAGGAUUAGCUAGUUGGUGUGGUAAAGGCGCACCAAGGCGACGAUCCUUAGCUGGUCUGAGAGGAUGAUCAGCCACACUGGGACUGAGACACGGCCCAGACUCCUACGGGAGGCAGCAGUGGGGAAUAUUGGACAAUGGGCGAAAGCCUGAUCCAGCAAUGCCGCGUGAGUGAUGAAGGCCUUAGGGUUGUAAUGCUCUUUUACCCGGGAUGAUAAUGACAGUACCGGGAGAAUAAGCUCCGGCUAACUCCGUGCCAGCAGCCGCCGUAA